CAGAAAUGAGCUGGAAGGGGCAGAAGGAGCACAAACAUAAAGUAGGAGAAUGAGCAGGAAGGGCCUGCAAGGAGCAGGAAGGAGCACAAAGGGACAGCAAGGAGCACAAAGGUAAAGGAGCAGAAAGAAUCAAAAGGAGCACAAAGAUAAAGUAGGAGAAAGAGCAGAAAGGGACAGCAAGGAGCACAAAGGUAAAGUAGAAAAGGGAGCAGAAAGGGACAGCAAGGAGCACAAAGGUAAAGUAGAAAAGGGAGCAGAAAGGGUCUGCAAGGAGCAGAAAGGGAUCAGAAUGAGAAAGGAGCAGAAGGGCGCAAAAUAAG
This is a non-coding RNA of Pelobates cultripes (western spadefoot toad), 320 nucleotides long. Lineage: Eukaryota; Metazoa; Chordata; Amphibia; Anura; Pelobatidae. The record is from the annotation of a GenBank genome assembly.